AUUGAAUUAGCAACAACACUUGGGAUUGAAGUGCUAAAUUGAAAAUGGCACUUUUCUGGCACUUUUUGAGCAAAAAAAGGUGAUAAAAUGUUAUUAGUGAGAAGUGAAGAUGAUUACAAAAAUAAAAUCUUAUAUUGAGUCUGCGCUCCACUUCUCAUUUAUAAUCUUAUGAUGAUAUAGCAGGAGAUUGCUAUGUUGCCCGGCAGAGGCUUUGUAUCUGGGCACUAGUCUCAACAGAUGACGACACUUCUGUUCAAUCUCAUAUCCUAUCCAUACUGGAUGUAAAACACGCAUGUGGCGCUGACUGGUGCGUUAACCAGUUUUUUAAAUAUAUAGCCCUUUCCAUCUGUUGAAAAUUGAGCAGGUGGUUUUU
This 373-nucleotide small RNA is filed under the name Listeria monocytogenes EGD-e. Its description in RNAcentral is "Listeria sRNA rliG". It matches the Rfam family "Listeria sRNA rliG". Lineage: Bacteria; Bacillati; Bacillota; Bacilli; Caryophanales; Listeriaceae. The record is from Rfam by way of RNAcentral.